This is a long non-coding RNA of Saccostrea cuccullata (small rock oyster), 2925 nucleotides long. RefSeq lists it as uncharacterized. The record is from RefSeq and is a predicted model, not a curated record. Lineage: Eukaryota; Metazoa; Mollusca; Bivalvia; Ostreida; Ostreidae. The transcript has 3 exons.
UUAUGCGAUAGUAAUGCGUCCGGCGUCCGUCCGUCCGUCUAGCUGUUCUUACGAGAGGUACAUUGUGGGGUAAAAUUAACGUAUUUUCCAGCAGUGUGGGGUUUUUUGGGUACUGUGGGGUUAACCCCAUAAUGAAGAGGUCUAAUUACGUUCAAAAUUACUCUAUGAGGUCGAAAAACCUAAAAUUAGAUUUAACCUCACAAAGACUUUGUCCAAAUUUUGGACAUGUCCUUAGCCCAAAACGCUCAGACAUUCAGAAAUCUGCUGUUUAGAGGAGUUCGGUAAUUGAAUCGAGGAGUUCCGAAUACCUGAGCAUGCGCAUAUAUUUAAAACUAACUGCGCAUGCGCAGAUUACGGAAGUAGCUGUGUUUGGACACUUUGUAUUAGCAGUGAGGAAAUUCGGAAACACAAAAAGCAAAUGCAAGUUCAGAAACCACUGAAAGUGAACAUCAGUGGAACUUUGAUGAUCUAGGCCACUCUAUUGUUGCAGCAACACCAGCAGGCGUCGGACAUUUAUAAAGUUGAAAGAACAAACCUAUGACUUGAACACACAAUUUGUGAUCUGAAUAUAGUUCACAAAUUUAAGGAAAGCAACUAUUAAAGACAUCCAGAUCGGUGGUAUACAUGAAGUAUGAGUUAAAGGCUUUUCAGAAGAACAAGCACAAUCCCGAUUCAUUUUUGCCAUUGCCUUCUCCAAACGGCGACAUUCAGGACCUGACUUACUUUUCAGAAAAAGAAGAUGAAUCGAUUUUUGAAAGUUAAUCUAAAAAGAUAACAUUUACAUGGGUCGUGGAUUUGAAUUACAUUUUCUUGAUGGGCAACUAGUUUCAAGUAUUUGGAUGUCUAUUCUCAAGUUACUGCAAACCUUAAAUUAACUUCUUGAUUAUUAGUUAAAUGUGAGACCGUGUUAACUUGAAGUAAUCAUUUUUUGAAUUGAGCUAUAUGUAAUCUCUGAUUACAUAUGUUUAUGAGUAGUGUUCAGCUUUAAGACAAAAGGAUCUUUUAUGAACAUUGCAUUCGGCAUGGCGAAUUUCUAUACAUUAACAGUCAUAGUUUUCGUCUUUUUUAAUUAGCGAUCUCAUUUUAAAUGUGAGAAAUAAUUAUUAAACUGAAAUGUACAUUUAUGUUGUUUGAUUUUAAUUUUUUGAAAAUUAUAAAUCAAUUGCAUGUUGGUUUUUUUUUUCAUUUUAUUUUAGGGGAUGGGAGUGGGGGUGCAGCUCUAAGUUUGAGUAUAUUUUCCAAAAGGAUGUACAUCGUUAUUUUUGUUUUAAGAUCAAUUUUAAAAUGCAAAAUGAUGAGAUAUUAGACUACACUUUUUUUCUUAAAACUUCAUUUUAAUUAAUAUAUUUUGUUUAAAAUAAGUAGCAAUAACAUGCACGUUUUAAAGUUAUUUGACAACUCACUAUAUACUUGUUUUUUUUUUUUUUACAUCUAUGAAGAUUGUCUCAAAUUUUGAGGUUUUUUUUCUGUGUUCUACAUUUAUUGACAUGUUUCUUAUCUGUGUUCAACUUGUCGAGUAACUGAAAAGUUUGAUUAAAUUUUUUUUUAAAAAUCAGGAUCAUCUCUUUUAUUUAUUAUUAUUAAUUUACAAUGAAAUUAUGUAUGCUUUUGAUGCAUAAUGUACACUUCAAAUUCAUGCACCAGCAGAUUCAAAGGAAAAAUUAUCAUUAGAAAUAAGCAGUAAAGAUAAAGAGAUUAUCCAAUUUAAAAUAGUUUGAAAAAUAUUUAAAACAAAUUUUCGAGUAUGUUAUCAAAAUAGGAAAAAGUAUUAUGAGUAUUGUUUGGUAUUUUUAAUAGUAAAAAAAGGAUAUGACGUACUGGCAAUCGCAUCAUCUCACUCAGGGUCUUUCCGUCAGAGUUCGGAAAAACAACCUCGAAUGUAUUAACAUCACCUGAUGUUAAAGGUUUAGCUUUUCUUGUUUUUUUUUUCAAAUAUAGGAUAGAGGAAGUAAGAAGUCCCUUUUAUAAUAUAUUUUAUGUAAUAUCAUAGCAUUGAAUAAAGUUAAACUCCAUAUUCCACAGAUAAAAGGUCUUCAUGCAUUUAUUUCGAAGAUCAUGAAAGGGGGGGGGGUUGUUGCCAUGGCGUCUAACUAAUACAUUCGAGGUCGUUUGUCAGCUAGUCAGAAAGGCUCGAGAAGUUGCGAUUGAACAUAGUGGGGGUACUUGUUCUUUUAUUACCAGUCCCUGGUAUAGUUUUUUGAUAUAAGAACAUACUUGGGGUUUUCAAACACUUAAAUUCAUAUGGUUACUGGUAUCUGUUACAUGAGAACACAGCGGGGUUGUUUGUUUAACACUCUGAGGUUACUAAGAUGUCUGAUAUUUUCUAUCAGAACAUAUUGUGGUUCUUGUCUAACACUUUGUGGGGUUAAUGUUAUCUUUUAUCUAUAUAAGAACAAAAUGGGGUUGUUACACGUUAUGGGGUUAGUGUUGUCUAUUAUCUUUAUGAGAGUACAUAGUGGGGUUGUUGUCCUAACACUUUAUGGGGUUAGUGUUGCCUACUAUCUUUAUGAGAGUACAUAGUGGGGUUGCUAUCCAAACACUUUAUGGGGUUAAUGUUGUCUGUUAUCUUUAUGAGAGUACAUUGUGGGGUUGCUGUCCAAACACUUUAUGGGGUUAGUGUUGUCUAUUAUCUUUAUAAGAGUACUUAGUGGGGUUGUUGUCCUAACACUUUAUGGGGUUAGUGUUGUCUAUUAUCUUUAUGAGAGUACAUAGUGGGGUUGCUGUCCAAACGCUUAAUGGGGUUAGUGUUGUCUAUUAUCUUUAUGAGAGUACAUAGUGGGGUUGCUGUCCAAACACUUUAUGGGGUUAGUGUUGUCUGUUAUCUUUAUGAGAGUACAUAGUGGGGUUGCUGUCCAAACACUUUAUGGGGUUAGUGUUGUCUAUUAUCUUUAUGAGAGUACAUAGUGGGGUUGCUGUCCAAACACU